CUGGAGACAGGUGGCUGCAUGGCUGUCGUCAGCUCGUGUCGUGAGAUGUUGGGUUAAGUCCCGCAACGAGCGCAACCCUUGCCUUUAGUUGCCAGCAGUUCGGCUGGGCACUCUAAAGGGACUGCCGGUGUUAAACCGGAGGAAGGUGGGGGAUGACGUCAAGUCCUCAUGGCCUUUAUGACCAGGGCUACACACGUACUACAAUGGCCGAUACAAAGGGCAGCGACACUGCGAGGUGAAGCCAAUCCCGUAAAAUCGGUCUCAGUCCGGAUUGGAGUCUGCAACUCGACUCCAUGAAGUUGGAAUCGCUAGUAAUCGUGGAUCAGCAUGCCACGGUGAAUACGUUCCCGGGCCUU
This 356-nucleotide ribosomal RNA is filed under the name uncultured Desulfobulbus sp. RNAcentral's name for it is "bacterial SSU rRNA". It matches the Rfam family "Bacterial small subunit ribosomal RNA", at positions 1028 to 1382 of the family's 1533-position model. Lineage: Bacteria; Pseudomonadati; Thermodesulfobacteriota; Desulfobulbia; Desulfobulbales; Desulfobulbaceae. The record is from RNAcentral.